Molecule: ribosomal RNA, 496 nt
Filed under: uncultured bacterium
Lineage: Bacteria
Description: partial 16S ribosomal RNA
Rfam family: Bacterial small subunit ribosomal RNA
Source: RNAcentral
GAUGAACGCUGGCGGCGUGCCUAAUACAUGCAAGUCGAGCGAACAGACGAGGAGCUUGCUCCUCUGACGUUAGCGGCGGACGGGUGAGUAACACGUGGAUAACCUACCUAUAAGACUGGGAUAACUUCGGGAAACCGGAGCUAAUACCGGAUAAUAUAUUGAACCGCAUGGUUCAAUAGUGAAAGACGGUUUUGCUGUCACUUAUAGAUGGAUCCGCGCCGCAUUAGCUAGUUGGUAAGGUAACGGCUUACCAAGGCAACGAUGCGUAGCCGACCUGAGAGGGUGAUCGGCCACACUGGAACUGAGACACGGUCCAGACUCCUACGGGAGCAGCAGUAGGGAAUCUUCCGCAAUGGGCGAAAGCUUGACGGAGCAACGCCGCGUGAGUGAUGAAGGUCUUCGGAUCGUAAAACUCUGUUAUUAGGGAAGAACAAAUGUGUAAGUAACUAUGCACGUCUUGACGGUACCUAAUCAGAAAGCCACGGCUAACUACGUG